This is a long non-coding RNA of Phragmites australis (common reed), 1605 nucleotides long. RefSeq lists it as uncharacterized. NCBI's taxonomy places the organism in Eukaryota, Viridiplantae, Streptophyta, Magnoliopsida, Poales, Poaceae. The record is from RefSeq and is a predicted model, not a curated record. The transcript has 2 exons.
UUUUUAAAAUAACUGAGUCUAUUUGCAUUUUUUAUUUAAAAAAUAAAAAAAAUCGUUGAACGCCUUCGUGCGAAAGAAAGCGCACACGGCAUAUUCAGCGUUUCUCGUGGGAAUAUCCUCUCGCGCGCGGGAAUAUUUUGCCGGGAAGAGCGAAUCUACCGUCUCUGCUCCGCUUUCUCGCUCGUCUUGCACCGCACGGCCACCCUUCCUGUCCUCGUCUCUUCUUCACCUUUCCACUCGCUCGAUGCACAUAGGCACACCUCUCUCUCCCCGGCUUCCUCUCUGUAUCGUAUGUCUCGUUCGAAGCCGUGGGUCGUCACCGACGAGUCCGUCGCCGGCGGAGCAACCGUGAACCGCCCGUCAUGAUUACCAGGGAAGGAGAUGCUCAGCGACUCCACAUGGAAAAGAGGCAUCGAAGAAACGAUUUUAUGAUCUCAGUAUGAUACAGGAGAAUGGUGACAGCACCAGCGCGGCAUGUGGCCGUGAAAUAGAAAAAAGUUACAGACUCUUACAGGUACAUACAACAACCGUGCCCUGCGACACUUCUGUCCAGGCGUGCACUAUGAAUCGUCCAUGUUCUCGUGUCGUAUUAUUCUGCUAAGAGCAAGCGUUUUCUCGGAAAAGUUUCACAUUUUUUGGAGAUGCUAUUCUAAAAUCAUCUCCGAGGUAUUGGGGAGAAGUUGAAUUAUCAUCUCGACUCCCCCACUAUUUCGAGAAUAAUUGACAUGUUGUUUCUGCAAAUUCAGACAAAAGUUCAGUGAGUGCGAAAGAAUUUGUCUAGCAGAUACCGCAAGGGAACAGGAAGGAUCCUCCUUACCUUAUGAGUUAUGACUCAAUUGCUGCAACCCUUACUGGCUUCAUUACUCUUACAAUGUUCAUCAUGUGCUCAAACCCCAUCACUAUCACCCCUAUGAGAUAAAGAAAGCUUAGUUGCAGCUUGCCAAGCAAGUUAUAUACUGCUACGGCGGCAUUUGCACCUUCAUCUGUUCGCAUCGUGACGGUAAUAGGUCUUGCAGAAAUAAGUGCUCCGGUUUCUGAUGAGGAUGCAGUGUAAGAGAUGUGCUCUAGAACAAUAGCCUUAAAGAGAAACUGCAGAUAUUCAGCCAUGGUAAGCUUACCUGAUGCAUUCUCUGGCUGGGACGACCACUCUUCAGGUUUCAUCGCAGAUUUGGUGGCCUUUAUCAAAUCCAUAAGCGCAUUGUUCACCUGGAAUUCAUAAAAGGUCACAUGAGUUCUACUGUGCUAUCGUGUAAACUGUCAUAACAAGGGAGGAAAGCGAAAAUCAGCAAACUUAUGAGAUGAAAUAAGCCUGAGAACUGUGGAGAAGGUAAUCAUGUCAAUGGCACAGUAUGCUGGUUGGUUUGCUCUCCACUUAUCUUUCUAUGAAGAUAUCUGCUCUACAAUUGUACGUUCUUAAAAUGCUUGUAGCAUGUACAUUAUUGCUCAAGCAUCCUUCUGCUAACUAGCCAUAAGUUGAGUAUGUGAAGUUCUACAUAUUUUGUAGGAGCAAUGUAGUUUGCAACUCCAUAUUGUUGCUUUUGAUCCAUUAUCGAAAAACUCCUAGAAGCCUAAGAUUAAUGGAUCGUUGUUGAAUAUUGUAGUUGA